RNAcentral lists this ribosomal RNA (503 nucleotides) under uncultured bacterium. Its description in RNAcentral is "bacterial SSU rRNA". It matches the Rfam family "Bacterial small subunit ribosomal RNA", at positions 28 to 523 of the family's 1533-position model. The record is from RNAcentral.
GACGAACGCUGGCGGCGUGGAUUAGGCAUGCAAGUCGAACGGUAUCAUCCUUUCGGGGGUGAGAGAGUGGCGAACUGGUGAGUAACACGUAGGUUAUCUACCCUCAAGACGGGGACAACCCAGGGAAACUUGGGCUAAUACCGGAUGUGAGCAACUUUUAGUUGUUUGAAAGGUGGCGUAAGCUGUCGCUUGGGGAUGAGCCUGCGUCCUAUUAGUUAGUUGGUGAGGUAACGGCUCACCUAGGCAAUGAUAGGUAGGCGGCCUUAACGGGUGGUCGCCCACACUGGGAUUGAGAUACGGCCCAGACUCCUACGGGAGGCAGCAGUCGAGAAUAGUCUACAAUGGUCGGAAGACUGAUAGUGCGACGCCGCGUGAACGAUGAAUCCCUUCGGGGUUAAAGUUCUUUUAUAUGUGAGCAGUGCUUCUUAUAUUAACAGUUAUGGGGAGAGAGAUAUUAGCAUAUGAAUAAGCAACGGCUAACUCCGUGCCAGCAGCCGCGGUAA